This 440-nucleotide ribosomal RNA is filed under the name uncultured bacterium. RNAcentral describes it as "partial 16S ribosomal RNA". It matches the Rfam family "Bacterial small subunit ribosomal RNA", at positions 338 to 795 of the family's 1533-position model. The record is from RNAcentral.
CCUACGGGAGGCAGCAGUGGGGGAUAUUGCACAAUGGGGGAAACCCUGAUGCAGCGACGCCGCGUGAGUGAAGAAGUAUUUCGGUAUGUAAAGCUCUAUCAGCAGGGAAGAAAAUGACAGUACCUGACUAAGAAGCCCCGGCUAACUACGUGCCAGCAGCCGCGGUAAUACGUAGGGGGCAAGCGUUAUCCGGAUUUACUGGGUGUAAAGGGAGCGUAGACGGCUGAGUAAGUCUGGAGUGAAAGCCCGGGGCCCAACCCCGGGACUGCUUUGGAAACUGUGUAACUAGAGUACAGGAGGGGCAGGCGGAAUUCCUGGUGUAGCGGUGAAAUGCGUAGAUAUCAGGAGGAACACCGGCGGCGAAGGCGGCCUGCUGGACGAUAACUGACGGUGAGGCGCGAAAGCGUGGGGAGCAAACAGGAUUAGAUACCCUUGUAGUC